Molecule: long non-coding RNA, 593 nt
Organism: Carassius auratus (goldfish)
Lineage: Eukaryota; Metazoa; Chordata; Actinopteri; Cypriniformes; Cyprinidae
Exons: 2
Source: RefSeq, a predicted model, not a curated record
AGGACCUGCAGGUACGGAAACGAGCAUGUCUACUUAGGCCUCCCAUCAACCUGGAUAUGAAACUACAGAGGUGAUCAAGACAGGUAAUGGGCAGGGAACACACCUGAAAAAUUGAGAUGACCGAAAAGCUUCAGAUUCAAAUUUUGGACUACAUUUUCUACAGUAAUUUUGGAGUUUAUCAGAGAGCACCUCCAGAACUUCGAUGGAUAAAACUGCACUUGCCUUACGUUGAGCCACGCGCACAAUACAUGUGGAUUCAGUUUUGUUCGUUCGGCUCGCGUUAAGCAAGUGCAGAACUUCUUCGAUGCCUAAUGUCUGUGACAUAUUUAGAUAAGAAGCCAGAAUAACUGCUAUGUUCUUUUCUUUGGAAUGUUUUUUUUUAAAUGGAAAAUAAGAGUGAAAUGUGAGAGAUUCACAGACAGCCACAACUGAUAAUUUUUCCUCUGUAAUGGUCAUGAUUUACAAUGUCCCCUGUUAUCCAACAUCAUGUUUGUUGAGUUAUCCACUUCCUCUCUUCUGUGCUGGUAAAUGAGGGCAAAGUUCUCACAUAUGCUGCAGUGAUGUAAUGGCAAAAUAAAGUUCUUCUUAACUCC